This 71-nucleotide transfer RNA is filed under the name Candidatus Iainarchaeum sp. Its description in RNAcentral is "tRNA-Pro". It matches the Rfam family "tRNA". Rfam says of the family: Transfer RNA (tRNA) molecules are approximately 80 nucleotides in length. Their secondary structure includes four short double-helical elements and three loops (D, anti-codon, and T loops). Further hydrogen bonds mediate the characteristic L-shaped molecular structure. tRNAs have two regions of fundamental functional importance: the anti-codon, which is responsible for specific mRNA codon recognition, and the 3' end, to which the tRNAs corresponding amino acid is attached (by aminoacyl-tRNA synthetases). tRNAs cope with the degeneracy of the genetic code in two manners: having more than one tRNA (with a specific anti-codon) for a particular amino acid; and 'wobble' base-pairing, i.e. permitting non-standard base-pairing at the 3rd anti-codon position. Lineage: Archaea; Nanobdellati; Candidatus Iainarchaeota; Candidatus Iainarchaeia; Candidatus Iainarchaeales; Candidatus Iainarchaeaceae. The record is from RNAcentral.
GGGGGCUUGGUGUAGUGGUAGCAUUGGAGCUUCGGGAGCUUCAGACAGCGGUUCAAUUCCGCUAGUCCUCA